This is a non-coding RNA of Camelina sativa (false flax), 1222 nucleotides long. NCBI's taxonomy places the organism in Eukaryota, Viridiplantae, Streptophyta, Magnoliopsida, Brassicales, Brassicaceae. The record is from RefSeq and is a predicted model, not a curated record.
AUUCUGAAAUAUUAAAAUCCCAGCAAAUAUACUAAAAUCCUCAGUUCAAUACACCCCCAUCGAUGUUUGCAAUUUUUUUUUUAUUAAUCUCUUCUCUUUAAUUGAUUUCUCCCGUUUCCUUUUUUUCUCUAUAGGGAUGAGAUAGAAGAUGAACAGUAUAUUUAUUUGAUUUGUUAUAGUGAGCGUGGGUUGAUCUGUUAUCUUUGUUCUUUGAGAGAUACAAGAAAGAGCUUUAUGACCACGUGAAGAAAAGAACACAAGAUGAAGAUAAUGUCGAAGAGUAUAGAAUUCCAGAUGCUUAUGAUUAAGACGGAGGUAUUGAUCAGGAGAGGUUUUCUAUUGCUGUACAAUGAUACAAGGACCUGGAUUCAACGGAGAAAAUGAAACCAUAUGCAGAGCAAGAAGCUUGGGAGGACCAUCAGAUUAGAAAAUCAACAUUAAAAUUUGGUGCAAAGAAUAAGCAAGCCUCAGACGAUUAUCAUCGUUUGUGUUUGAGAACCAAAUAAAUUUCAUUAAGGAAUCUGUGAUGGCUGGUGAAAAUCAUGAAGAUGAUAUGGAUAUUGGAUACAAAACAAAAAUCUCAAGAUUUGGCAGAGAAAUAAGCAUUAGAAGAACUUCAGGAAGUCAGAAGAAGUUAGCCGAUUUAUGUGUAUCUUGAUCAACUGCUUAAGGCUGUGGAAGAGGAUCAGGUAGAACUCUACGUUUAUUGCUCGUGCAGGUAGAAGUCUUUGUUUAUUGCUCGUUCAGGUGAAGUCUAUGUUUGCAUCAACAUUAGGUAAGUUACCUUGGUAUUCUUUAGUAGUCAUGAAAGGAAGACAAGCUACCUUGUUCUUUGUCAUUGACUGAACCUUAACGUUGACUGAACCUUACCAUAUGGUAGUAUGGUACCUAAUCUCUGGCAUUCGGGCAGUAGCUAUAUCCCUCUAUGACUCUGUCACACGUGAAAAAAAAAACAUAUAAUUAGCAGAUUACACGAUUCAUAUAUCAGUUUCAGAGCUACCUCUGUAGGAUAUCAUAUAUUCACAAGACACGUUUCUCGAGGAACAAAAAUAAAUAAUCAAGAGUUUUCCUAGCACGUAAGAUAACAAAAAUGCUUAAUCAUGCAAAUAAUAUAGGUACAAACCUAAAACUUGAGUUUAGCAAGCUCACUGUAAGAUAAAUUGGUUUUCUACUCGUUUGUUGUCUUUAAACUAAAUAUAUUUAAAUGAGAUAUUUUUCUUCU